AGCAGAACUUGUAUCAGCCAAAUAGACAGGAGAAAGCGGAUUUUUCAUUGGACUUCAGGACUCCUGAGUAACAGAUAAAGACAGAGAAACAGCAAAGUUAUGGAGAAUCAGGAAGUAAGUGCCAGUCUGCGCAGAUCUGAGGUCAGUGAGACACACAUAAGGCUCCUCUGAUGCUCCUCUUCAUCCGCUGAUGGGCCUCCAGCUCGUCUGACUCAUUCUGCUCCACGAAGGUCAUCUCCUCUGCCAGCUUCCUCUGAUCCAGGGAGACCCUCUGCUUCUCUCUGAUUGGUUCCCGCUUUCUACAGGAGGUCCAGUGCAGCUGAAUGGUGAUGAUGGUGCAAAUCAGUAACACUGACACUGUCUCCAUCCACACCCGUCACCUCCUGUUUGUCCACUGACAGCCCUGGAGGACUUCAAC
Long non-coding RNA from Brienomyrus brachyistius, 418 nucleotides. RefSeq lists it as uncharacterized. The transcript is spliced from 3 exons. The record is from RefSeq and is a predicted model, not a curated record. NCBI's taxonomy places the organism in Eukaryota, Metazoa, Chordata, Actinopteri, Osteoglossiformes, Mormyridae.